RNAcentral lists this long non-coding RNA (5788 nucleotides) under Nicotiana tabacum (common tobacco). RNAcentral's name for it is "long non-coding RNA (NTAB_LNC017214)". The record is from RNAcentral. Lineage: Eukaryota; Viridiplantae; Streptophyta; Magnoliopsida; Solanales; Solanaceae.
AACACCUAACAUGUGAAAUAGACCACAAGGCUCUACAAUGGAGAUCCUUUUAUCCCUCAACCAAUAUCAACAAGAAACUACCCAAAAUGUUUCAUUAACCCCACAUACUACAACUUUGUAUCACAUGCAUGGCCUAUUUCCAACCCCUCAAUAUAUUUGAACUCAUAACCUCUUGUAUGAAAGCUUGGAAGUAGGACUUACCCGGAUGAAGGAUAAUCUAGUGAUUGACUUCCUUGAUUCUUGAAGAUUGGUGCAAGAUUGGAUGAUUGGGAGGUUAGGUUUUCUACUUCUCUCUCUCUAAAAUGCUCUCACCUCUCUCUAGACUCACCAGAAAAUCCUCCCAAAUAAAGCCCCAAAUGUUAUUUAUUAAAAUAGGGUCGGCUGUAAAAACCCCAAAAUUUGCACAGCCGCGCCACAUGGGGCGCGACGCAGUAGUGGAAAAAUGUGCCUAGAAACGAAAUUUUAAAGUGUUCUGGAAAUCCCCACAGGCGCACAGCAUGGGGCGGCGCAGUAGUGUAGAAUUCUGCCAGCUUUUGGUAAAUUGGUCAUAACUUCUUGUAGGAGUGUCCAAAUGAGGAACGGUUUAAAGCUUUAGAAAGUAGACUCGAAGAUCUUUCAUUUGACAGGUUGUUAAUCACAUUAGAUAUGCUCGUCUAAAGUUUGGUCUUGUACGUACUCAUUUGUAACUUUAGUUUAUCAUGAACCUUUCGAACUUGUCNNNNNNNNNNNNNNNNNNNNNNNNNCAUCAUAUUAAUAGACCUCGUCUGCAUACAAAGUAAUAUAAUUAGCACACAUCAACUUUCUUAAUAGCGCUUAAGUACUUCAAAAAAUUUUGGGGUACUACAUUCUCCCCCACUCAGGAUCAUUCAUCCUCGAAUAAGAAGUAGAGUCGACCCCAACACUGAACAUAGCUUAACUAUUUUAUCACACACCUCAAGCUCCCAAAUUUUUGACUAUCUCUCAAAUUUUUCAGAAAUUUCGGCAGAGUUUCCCUUGUAAUUUGGCAUAUCCACCUGCCAGAGAAUCACCAAAACCACCCUAACAAUAUAUUCUUUUCUCAACAAAGCAUCAUAAUAUAUAUCAACAACACUGAUAUCAAUAUUACAAGCAUUAUAUCAUCAAAAUUGAUAUCCGGACAUGAGUUGUACCUAUUUAAAUCAUAACACAUAGAAAAUUCCUUUCGACCCACAAUUAUUUGACUAUACAACCAAGGGGGGACAUUUUCUUUCCUUAACAAUUUCGGCCUUCGAGGUGGGCUCCUCGACUCACAGACUUUGCCAUAACACAUUCACGAAGGCAAUCUCAAUUCCCAAACUUAUCUAACAAGGAUGACAAUUAAGUACCUCUCAUAGAUCAAUUAUCCAUUUACUUUACCUCCACUAGCUUUCACCGGAAUGAUAGACAAAGAAUUCCAACUACCUUCUUAGACACAGUCACAUAAAACACCAGGUACAUGGAGGAAAAUAAUAGGGAAAUAUCAUACCCAUAGUUUGGCAUAUUUCCUUUAGGAUUUCAUAAGGCCUAAUGUGACUGCACAUACUUUACCCUUAUUAGAAAUUCACAUAACAUCCUCAUGGAGAAAAUAUUGAGAAUAACCCAUUAACUUUCUUCAACUUUAAAUCUCUACGCCGAGCACCCAAACUAAAUCACGGGAUGAUGCUUCUUCUUUGACAUGUUUGAACAUUCAACCCCCAUAGAUUUAAUACAAGGAGGAGCAACGGGGUUCGAGGUUUGGCUGGAAUUAUUCAAGAGUCCAUCAAUGGGCUGAGCAGAGUAUUUCAUGAGGUUAUAUAUCCUAAAAGACAUGAAGCUUACUACUGAUAACACUGUCAAGAUUAAUCAUAGUGAUGACAUCAUUGAUUCGACAAAUGAGGCAUAGAGUUAACUAGUAUAUCAGCAAUAGAAAUUCUUAAGGAAGAAUAGUUAAGUACGUGACACCAGUUACCUACUUGAGUGUAGGGAAAAAUUAUUUAAUUCGAAAUGAGAAUAUUCUGGCACCCUGAAUGUGAUAUGGGUUUCAAAAUACAUGAAGUUGCAUUAUGCUCUUAACAGUAACUAGCACAAGAAAUCUAUGCCACAAGCCUACAAGGAUGAAAAAGAAGUUGAACACUUGUGAGAUUAUUAUCAUUCUGACAGCUUAACCUCUUUCUGAUAGUUGAUCAUAUAUGAGAGAACUAGAGAUGCGACAAACUUGUCUUUCAAAUCAAUAUACUCAUGAUAUAUGCCAAAAUCUGGAAGCAUCUAAUUUCAACCUUUCACGAGUGAAACCACAUAGCUGGGACAUCUAAAUAUUUGGGAUAAAAUCAUGUAUUAGUUAGAGAAAAUGAACACUUUUCUAUGAGAUAGACAUAUUUCUGCCAUAAUAAUUCUCAAACUGCAAUACCAUGCCACUUCAUGGGCACUUACAAUACUAGGAACAAAGUGAGCUACUUACUAUGAGACUAUGCUCUCAUGUUACUAGACAGUGGAAAGGUUCCAUGAUAAUACUCACAAAGGAGUAGAGUGAUUGUUCAAACCAUAUGAGUCACAUAUACCAGAGAAAGAAAGAGUGGCUUAAGAAGGAUCUCAACACUAGGAUGCCUUACACUGGAUUUUAUACCACAUAGGUAAAUUUUACGAUGGUGCAUGCAUAAGCACAAGUUAGCAGAUGUUAUCCAUUUGAUUGGAAAGGUUCUGUAAGAAAUUCAUCAGGUAUAGUCCCUUGUUGAGAUUUUAGGAAAGCAAGUAGGAAGUAUUACCCUAGGAUUAUAACUCAAUUCAAAGAAAUCGUUAUAGAUUCCAAUGCCUCAAGAGGUUGCAAGUACGAUAAUUAUGAUAAAGAGGUUUCACGAAUGAUACGUUCGUUUUAAAGAGUAGAUACAGAAAAUGGCUCAUAAGGUUAUUCCGGCUCUAUCCCAAAUGUCAUAGCAAUAUAAGGAUUUGACAUAUGACAAAGUGGAACCGGAUCAACAAAAGCAUGUACAUCAUGAGAUUGGACAGUCAAUAUACUUGUAACCACAUCUGAAGAAGACUCAAACUUUCGACGCCUCCUCAUAGCAUAAAACCUGUUGGGUCCUCACGAGCUCUGAAUACCACCCCUAGCUGCUCCAAGCCCUGCGGGCGUUAUAGUGCCUCGAGCUGGGGGAGGCGCUGUGGAUGUAGUAGCUACAGAACUGGUUGGAUGUGCCACACCCCUGCCGAUGCUCUGGCGAGACAAAUAACAAUCUCUUUGAAUGUGACCCGUCAUACCACACUUGUAGCAUACAUUGGUACCAUAGUGACAUACUCCCGGAUGACAUCUCCCAUACUUCACACAAACGGGGAUGAGGUCCACUAAACUUACUUGCCUCACCGACCUGGUAUUUACCCUUUUUGCAUACAUCAUAAGCAUCGCCCUUAUCCUUUCUCCAAGCUUCCAAUGCGGGAGUAACAAUUCCAGUACCGGUUUGUUGUGUGGGCCUUUGGAAUUGCCCAGAUCUACCACCCCAAACAUGUUGCUGAGCAUACUCACAACACGAAGCCAAAUGUUCCUUCCCACAUAUCGGCCAGACCGGGAUCGGUGUACCCAACGUAGGGCAUUUGUUCUUCUUGGGCCCCUUCUUUCCACAACCAUAACAUAUUUCAAAAGUGACCCAACAUAAACCCAAGUGGUGCUUCUUACAAAUGAAACGAUCCGGCUUAUUAGAGCCGACAAACCUCUUUUUUUCUUAGGUGCCCUCACCACAUGAUCUGAUGGCAUGGUGACAUUAAUAGGAGCAAGAACACUUCCCCUAGCAACUGGUUUUUUCAUUCCCUCCUUGCUGACUCGAACUCGAGGGUUACUCAUCCGAAAAAUGAGACAUAGCGAGGAGAUUAGCUUCUUAUCUUGGGCUCUAUCGCAUGAUAUGGAAUAUCAAAGAAGUGUGAAAUUUUCUAAAUGUCCGAGUAGCCUCCUCAUUAUAGAUGUGGUCGACAACACACCGAUAAGAAGGACUCUACUAGACACGGCUCUGAGACAUCCUAGGACACUUUAAAACCUUAGGCUCUGAUACCAAAUUUGUCACGCCUCAAAUUUGGGAAGCGCGAUCGGCGCUCAACCGAGUGAACCCAGUCAAGCAAGCUUGUUAGAUACUUUUUACCCAACUCACCCAUGAUCAAGAGAAGAUAUAGUUUCAUUAAUUAGACAGUAGGAAGAUUAUGUAUACAAUACUAAAUCAUUUCAUUAGUUACAUCACUUUUAAGUCUCAAAAUAUAUACAUGCUUAUGGUUUGAGUGGACCAAAUGAUCAAAACACAACAUAACUUGUUCGACUUAUCUAGCACCUAUGUACAACCCACAUUGUGUCAACAGAGCCUCUAAAAGAUAUAAAAUAGUGUUAUAAUAGUGCCGGCAACAAGGCUCCGAUUAUACCUCAAAAGGUGAUAAUAAUAUGAAAAAAGAUAUAAUACAUGAUCCCGAGAUAAAGUGGGGCUCACCAAGUCUGCUGGGAAGAGGAGGUACCACUAUCGCUGAUCAAUACUGCCUGCUAUGAAACCACCUGCAUCCAUUUAAAGAUGCAGCGCCCCCGGCAAAAGGAACGUUAGUACUGUCGAAUAAUACUAGAAUGUAAAACUAAAUACCAUCUCAAUAUAAUGAAUAAUAACACAAAGAGGAACAGUCAUGAAUUCAAUAGGAGCUUCAAACAGUACUAAAUCAUCAAGUUAAGAACCACAUAAGUUUUCAAGUCAAUUUCCAUGUUAUUAGGUUGGGUGAUCUUUAGUGCCGAUAUGCCACAAUUCACAAUACCAUCGUAUUCUUACACGGAGUCCAAUCACGACCCGAUCGGCUAGGUCGUCUCAUUUGAGACAUCAACCAUAACCACAAUUUUAAUUAUAAUUUCCAGCACAGUCACCACCAUGUAUGAGGCAUGGCGUCCUAUCAUGGCCCGAUCGGCUAGGCCGUCUCACCCGAGACAUUACCUUUUCAAAUCAAUCAUCUCACUACAUACUUCUUUCACCUCUUUUCAAUUCAUUGGCACAAGUGGCCAUAAUUAUAAAGUCAUUCUUGGCACUUGGCCGUAUUUCUUAAUUCCAGUUCCCCGUUACACAUUCAAACAUCAUUAUCAUCAUCAUCAUCAACAACAAUAAGGCUUUUCAUUCAAGACAUUCAAUACACAUAUGAGCAAUUAGGGAAUCUUUGGCGUAUAGAGGCUUUUCAUACAAUUUGGCAUAACAUCCUUUAUUCUAUCUUGACUUGAAGUCUUAACAUUUUAACACAUAUUCCAUAUCUUUAACACAUCCUCAAAUGAUAAGAUGACAUGAUGAAGCAUGUAGAAUACAUAUUGAACAUAUAUCCUUCAACAUGCAACAUUCAGAAUAGCCAAUUCUAUAAUGAUCAAUUUGGGACUUAGACCAAUCACACGAACACCGUGGGAUUCAAUUCUAAGAAUAAGGGGUUCAGCCAACAUACCUUGUCCGAGCUUUCCUUAAGUUACUACAAUGCCCCAACACUUAUAGCAAUAACAAUCUAUGGGAAGAUAGUGAAAAUCGAUUAAUAUUUAGAAGGAUUUUCAUGAUGUAACUCUCUUAGGAAUUUUGUCAAACACCUAACAUGCGAAAUAGACCACAAGGCUCUACAAUAGAGAUCCUUUCAUUUCUCAACCAAUAUCAACAAGAAACUACCCAAAAUGUUUCAUUAACCCCACAUACUACAACUUUGUGUCACAUGCAUGGCCUAUUUCCAACCCCGCAAUAUAUUUGAACUCAUAACCUCUUGUAUGAAAGCUUGGAAGUAGGACUUACCCGGAUGAAGGAUAAUCUAGUGAUUGACUUCCUUGAUUCUUGAAGAUUGG